This 528-nucleotide long non-coding RNA is filed under the name Homo sapiens (human). RNAcentral's name for it is "HSALNT0409452". The record is from RNAcentral. Lineage: Eukaryota; Metazoa; Chordata; Mammalia; Primates; Hominidae.
AGGAAAGCGGCGGCGGUGGCGGCUUCAACAGCAGCUCUUGCCCUUAAGGAACAAUCCACAGCAUGUUCCGAAGAGAUGAUUGGAAGAUGGAAGUGGAGGGUUAAAUAAUGAAAUGCAGCUAACAUUUCGGAAAGUUUCUAAAAGUUGUACAACAUGCCCUACAGCUACUCUUUAAAUCUCCAAAUCAAAUGAGUUUCAGGUGGAGCCUCUGGGAGGUGAUGAGGUCAUGAGAGUGGAGCCUCAUGAAUGGGAUGAGCACUCCUACAAAAAGGAUUCCAGAGAGCUCGCUUGCUCCUUCCACAGUGUGAGGACACAGAGGGAAGGCUCUGUCUAUGAAUGAGAAAGUGGGUCCCCACCAGACAUUGAAUCUGCCGCAUCUUGAUACUGGACUUCCAGUCUCCAGAACUGUGGGCAAUAAAUGUCUGUUGUUUAUUACCUGUCCAGUAUCUUUGGUAUUUUGCUAUAGCAACCCAAAUGGACUAAGAAAACACCAGAGGCCAUACCUAAUAAAAAUAUUGACAUCACAAU